CUGUUCGAGCGUCAUUUAUACCAAUCUAGCCUGGCUAGGUGUUGGGCUUCGCCGUCUGGCGGGCUUUAAAAUCAGUGGCGGUGCUCUUCAGCUCUACGCGUAGUAACUUUCUCGCUAUAGGGUCUGAGGAGAUGCUUGCCAGCAACCCCAAAUUUUUCUAGGUUGACCUCGGAUCAGGUAGGGAUACCCGCUGAACUUAG
Molecule: unclassified non-coding RNA, 200 nt
Filed under: soil metagenome
Description: partial contains internal transcribed spacer 2 and large subunit ribosomal RNA
Source: RNAcentral